Molecule: transfer RNA, 86 nt
Filed under: Delitschia confertaspora ATCC 74209
Lineage: Eukaryota; Fungi; Ascomycota; Dothideomycetes; Pleosporales; Delitschiaceae
Description: tRNA-Tyr
Source: RNAcentral
CUCCGCUUGGUGUAGUUGGUUUAUCACGUUCGGCUGUAAUGUCUUAUGCUACCGAAAGGUCCCUAGUUCGAUUCUGGGAGCGGAGA